UACGGAGGGAGCUAGCGUUGUUCGGAAUUACUGGGCGUAAAGCGCACGUAGGCGGCUUUGUAAGUUAGAGGUGAAAGCCCGGAGCUCAACUCCGGAACUGCCUUUAAGACUGCAUCGCUUGAAUCCAGGAGAGGUGAGUGGAAUUCCGAGUGUAGAGGUGAAAUUCGUAGAUAUUCGGAAGAACACCAGUGGCGAAGGCGGCUCACUGGCCCGUUACCGACGCUCAGGCGCGACAGCGUGGGGAGCAAACAGG
RNAcentral lists this ribosomal RNA (253 nucleotides) under uncultured bacterium. Its description in RNAcentral is "partial 16S ribosomal RNA". It matches the Rfam family "Bacterial small subunit ribosomal RNA", at positions 524 to 776 of the family's 1533-position model. The record is from RNAcentral.